This 253-nucleotide ribosomal RNA is filed under the name uncultured bacterium. Its description in RNAcentral is "partial 16S ribosomal RNA". It matches the Rfam family "Bacterial small subunit ribosomal RNA", at positions 524 to 776 of the family's 1533-position model. The record is from RNAcentral.
UACGUAGGGUGCGAGCGUUAAUCGGAAUUACUGGGCGUAAAGCGUGCGCAGGCGGCUUUGCAAGACAGAUGUGAAAUCCCCGGGCUUAACCUGGGAACUGCAUUUGUGACUGCAUGGCUGGAGUGCGGCAGAGGGGGAUGGAAUUCCGCGUGUAGCAGUGAAAUGCGUAGAUAUGCGGAGGAACACCGAUGGCGAAGGCAAUCCCCUGGGCCAAUACUGACGCUCAGGCACGAAAGCGUGGGGAGCAAACAGG